Molecule: transfer RNA, 72 nt
Filed under: Marmota monax (woodchuck)
Lineage: Eukaryota; Metazoa; Chordata; Mammalia; Rodentia; Sciuridae
Rfam family: tRNA
About the family: Transfer RNA (tRNA) molecules are approximately 80 nucleotides in length. Their secondary structure includes four short double-helical elements and three loops (D, anti-codon, and T loops).
Source: Rfam by way of RNAcentral
UGGGGUGUUGUUCAGUGGUAGAGUGUUUGCCUAGCAUGCAUAAGAUCCUGGGUUAAACCCCCAGCACCACAA